Molecule: long non-coding RNA, 1875 nt
Organism: Photinus pyralis (common eastern firefly)
Lineage: Eukaryota; Metazoa; Arthropoda; Insecta; Coleoptera; Lampyridae
Exons: 8
Source: RefSeq, a predicted model, not a curated record
CGUCACGAUCCCGAAUCUCGAUUAUAGUAACGCGAGAAACGACGACGGUUGUGGUUCGUGUUUUUCCAAUGGUGUUUGGUAGUGAUUUUUCCCAUGGAGAGACUGAAUUAAUACUGUUUAAAGGAUUCGAGAAGGACAGCCUUGGAUUCUGGAUUACGAUAGGAGGGUGGACAGAGUGCGGGUAGCUGCGUCCAGCGGUCCGAACCCGAAGAAAUAAGGCUAUAGGAUUCCAGAAGGGCAGCCUUAUAAAGGUAGGAUUUUUCUUUUUCUGUGCAUGGGUUGUGAUAUUUUUUUAUGUAUUUAGAAGAGGGGGGAGUGAAUAGUGAAUACUGUGACUACAAAGAAAAUCAACCAGGUAAUUAUUUUAACCGACCUUCGUAUAGUCAUCUUGGCGAUGUAAGACUGAUUGCAAUGAUUCUCUCGUGGCAUGAUACAGUUUACUCUAAAUCCUCCGGUAUGACUAUGUUUCAUAGCCGUAUUGGGUGCUUUGUUGUAAAUCAGGUUAUGAGGAAGUAUUCCAGUCAAGUUUUUCAUUACCAAGGAUUGUCAUACGAAGAUCAUUUUGAUGUUUUUUAAGGGAAGGUAAGUGAUUAAUCCACCAUAGGCUCAUGUUCGCUUAUUAAUGUAUAAGAUGAGCUUAACAUUGUAAAACCGAGAGGGAUGAAAGACUGAUUAAUAAACGAACAGGGUCGUUAAUUGGUUGUAAUAACAUGAUUACCUACACAACUUUUCGAUUGUUCACAGUGCCGAUGAUUCCGCUGCCCUCGUCCUUCAUCUGCUUGUGAGGAAUCCACUUCUGAUCUCGAUUCUGUUGACCACGAUUCGGGCCAAUGAGUUAUCCCAACUCACCAUGCCUGAACGCCGAGUGCGGGUAGCAGCGUCCUGCGGUCCAAAACGGAAUGAAUAAGGCUAAAGGAUUCCAGAAGGGCAGCCUUAUAAAGGUAGGAUUUUUCCUGUUCUAAGCAUGACUUGUUGCAUUUUUUUUGUGUAUUUAGCAGUGGGGGAAAAGUGAAUAGUGCAUAAAGUGACUAAAAUAAGAAUCAACGAAUAAUUUUAGCCGAUCUUCGUUUUGUAGUUCUAACUGAGUUGUGGUUAACUCUCUGAGCGUUAAUCUUGGUGGCGUAAUAGACUGGCAGCAGUAAUUCUUGGAAUGGUCAUCAGCAGUUCGCUCCAUAUGAAUUGUUAUGGCCAUGAAUUUAUAGCCAUACCAAUUUAGUGAAGUGAACGGUUUUUCUCCGCGAAGAAGUACUGUAGCCAGUCAUUAUGUUUCCAAGGAACAAUGUCUUGGAGUUUGAUCAUACCCCAUUUAGUAUUGCGUGGAGAUCAGGUUUUUGGUUUUUAAAGGUUGGUGAGUAAUCGUUACAAACGUGUACGUUUAUGUAAUGAUUAGUUACUCUUAGAUGAUUGUUCCUGAGUCAUCUCUGAUUAGCUAAUUAAUUAUUGAACAAACACACUUGAUGAGUAUACUUUGGCGGGUGUACUAAUCUCACUGUUUGUUCACAGAUGACCGGAUUCAAGUCUACCCUCGAUCCUGGUGAAGAAUCUCAAGUUUCAAUCGAACUAGUGUUUGGAAUAUCUUAACCCGCUUGCCAGUGGUCCACGAACGUGCUGUACGAGUGCAGUUGGAGAUCCUCUAUCGCCAACUCUCCCCCUCCAUGACGAUUAAGAACGAUGUCAUCUUCACGCAAAUAAAGGUAAUUUUGGCAAUCGCCGUCUGACGGGACAAUUUAAUCCCUCCUGUAUACUGCAAUAAAACGGGGACGCCCUAAUUGCUGGGGAAGCUCUCCGGUGCCGAAAUGGGAGAAUAAAGUCGCUGUAAUACGCACAGAAGUUCACUAUCACCGAAAUCAAGAUAGGACCAGGGUCAAGUUCAAG